Molecule: non-coding RNA, 73 nt
Organism: Verticillium albo-atrum
Lineage: Eukaryota; Fungi; Ascomycota; Sordariomycetes; Glomerellales; Plectosphaerellaceae
Source: Rfam
UAUGUUGUGGACUAAUGGGUAAGUCAUAAAUUUUUGAUAUUUACUAUUAAGUGUUCGAAUCACUUCAACAUAA